UACGUAGGGCGCGAGCGUUGUCCGGAAUUAUUGGGCGUAAAGAGCUCGUAGGUGGCUUGUUGCGUCUGCCGUGAAAGCCCGUGGCUUAACUACGGGUCUGCGGUGGAUACGGGCAGGCUAGAGGCUGGUAGGGGCAAGCGGAAUUCCUGGUGUAGCGGUGAAAUGCGCAGAUAUCAGGAGGAACACCGGUGGCGAAGGCGGCUUGCUGGGCCAGUUCUGACGCUGGAGGAGCGAAAGCGUGGGGAGCGAACAGG
Molecule: ribosomal RNA, 254 nt
Filed under: uncultured bacterium
Lineage: Bacteria
Description: partial 16S ribosomal RNA
Rfam family: Bacterial small subunit ribosomal RNA
Source: RNAcentral